This is a long non-coding RNA of Felis catus (domestic cat), 1599 nucleotides long. RefSeq lists it as uncharacterized. The record is from RefSeq and is a predicted model, not a curated record. Lineage: Eukaryota; Metazoa; Chordata; Mammalia; Carnivora; Felidae. The transcript has 4 exons.
UUUGAAGACGUAUGACCUUGUGUAUCUCGUACACAAGGUAAUUGUAUCUUUGUGAUUACAGCGAAAUGAACUCUAAUUAUUUCUCUAACCCUCCAACGUUGUAUAUGCAAAUUAAGGAACCAUGGGAAAUUGGCCCUCGGCCCGCGCGACCUCUGCGCGCCCCGGAGGGCGCGAGCCUCACACUCGGUCACGUGGCGCGCGCGGCCGCGCUCCUCUUCCCCGCCGUCCCAGCUGGGCCCCCAGGGGUCGCACGCGGGGUUCCACCGAAAACCGGGCGGCACGGUGUCCCCGAAACUAUGCGGGGCGGCGCGUGCGCGGCGCCAGCACAUUUUGGGGGACAAGAGGCGGUGAUGCGCACGGGGGCCCCACAGAAAUCGGGUCGGGCCGUCCCCGCGGCAGGACCCGUGACCCUGGCGAGAGCUGGAAACGCCGGUCGUGCACCGGAAGGGGCCGGGCAGGGUGGCCCGGGGCCGCAGCGCGGAGGAGUGGUUCACGGUGCGCCGCUGCUUCCCCUGGGGUGGUCGGGCCCUGCGCCCCGUGCUUGAAGCCAAGGGCAAGGGGGUGAGCGUCCGCUUGGGGCCAACGCUUUCCGUAGUGUGACUCGAGGUGUGGCAGACCGGGAAAGGUCGCCAGGCUUUGGUCCAGCACUGGGCCGGGCCCCUUAGCUGACCCGUGUCCUUCCCCUCAUUUCCACGUUAGAAAACAAGCUCUAGUUGGUUAAUCAAGGCCAAAAUUAGCCUGCCAGUCGUGAAAGAAGUUGGGAUUUGCAGGCAAGUCUGGUUUCAAAAACCGAUCUUUUCCUCUCCACAGUGGAACUCGAGCGAGGAAAGAUUUGGGACCAGGAGUGCGGCCUCCCCUUUUGGACAAUGCUCCCAAGGCCUUAUCGGCUCAGACUUUCCUUCCUGCCCUAGUUCCCUCACCACACAGCAAGCAUCUGUGACGUCAGCGCCGGGGCUGCAGGGCCAACAAGAAGUGGUUUGUGUUGCUGUGGCCGUUAGGUUCCAGCGAGGGAGCCAAGCAAACGUGGAAGAGCAUUCUCAGUGCUGAGAGGGACUAGAAGGGAAGAACAUGGGGUGUAGACAGUGACUGGGGAAUGAAGGUGGGCAGGAGGGAAGGGGACAUUUGAACUGUCGCUCCAUACGGAUGCAACCCUGAGAGGACCUGACAGACAGUGCCAGGCAGAAGAUGACCUGGGAGCUACCUGAGUCAGUGUCACCCAUCUGGGCAAGUCCUUCAGGCAGGAGAAGCCACUGUGGAGAGCAUCAAGAAAGGGGAAGGGAAGUAAUAUUUGCUAAGAGCAUGUAGGAGUCCAGGGACCAUGCUGGACAUCUGCACAUGAUCUCAUUCAGUUAUCAUAACCCUGUGUGGGCAGCAGAGCAACAGGCCAGAGCUGGCCUUCUCUGAGCAAGACUUGCCCAUUCAGCAAGCACUUUUUGGCCUCCACCGUGCUGAUGGAGUGGCAGAGAAUAAAAGAAAGAGAAGACAAUGAAGCCAAUGUAGCUGAGAAGGAGCAUUUCUGAAAUUGGAAGCUGUCCCCUACACCAAACAUGCUAAUAGAGGAAGUGAAAAUUUGGCCUGAAAACUCCAGUUUGAAGAAGG